Molecule: transfer RNA, 77 nt
Filed under: Marinobacterium rhizophilum
Lineage: Bacteria; Pseudomonadati; Pseudomonadota; Gammaproteobacteria; Oceanospirillales; Oceanospirillaceae
Also listed under: 1 other name
Description: tRNA-Arg
Rfam family: tRNA
About the family: Transfer RNA (tRNA) molecules are approximately 80 nucleotides in length. Their secondary structure includes four short double-helical elements and three loops (D, anti-codon, and T loops).
Source: RNAcentral
GGCCCAGUAGCUCAGCUGGAUAGAGCGGCCCCCUCCUAAGGGGCAGGUCAGAGGUUCGAAUCCUCUCUGGGUCACCA